UGGGGAAUAUUGCACAAUGGGCGCAAGCCUGAUGCAGCCAUGCCGCGUGUAUGAAGAAGGCCUUCGGGUUGUAAAGUACUUUCAGCGGGGAGGAAGGGAGUAAAGUUAAUACCUUUGCUCAUUGACGUUACCCGCAGAAGAAGCACCGGCUAACUCCGUGCCAGCAGCCGCGGUAAUACGGAGGGUGCAAGCGUUAAUCGGAAUUACUGGGCGUAAAGCGCACGCAGGCGGUUAGUUAAGUAAGAUGUGAAAUCCCCGGGCUCAACCUGGGAACUGCAUCUGAUACUGGCAAGCUUGAGUCUCGUAGAGGGGGGUAGAAUUCCAGGUGUAGCGGUGAAAUGCGUAGAGAUCUGGGGGAAUACCGGUGGCAAAGGCAGCCCCCUGGACGAAGACUGACGCUCAAGUGCGAAAGCGUGGGGAGCAAACAGG
RNAcentral lists this ribosomal RNA (429 nucleotides) under Chloroflexota bacterium. Its description in RNAcentral is "Chloroflexi bacterium partial 16S ribosomal RNA". It matches the Rfam family "Bacterial small subunit ribosomal RNA", at positions 355 to 776 of the family's 1533-position model. Lineage: Bacteria; Bacillati; Chloroflexota. The record is from RNAcentral.